GGGAUUUCGUGUCAGGACGUACCGCCGAAUAUCGGGUGGGCAGCCUUCACACGGCUGAGGUCGGAGGUUCGAGUCCUCUAGCGCCCA
Molecule: transfer RNA, 87 nt
Filed under: Actinomycetota bacterium
Lineage: Bacteria; Bacillati; Actinomycetota
Description: tRNA-Ser
Source: RNAcentral